GCAAACUUGGUCAUUUAGAGGAAGUAAAAGUCGUAACAAGGUUUCCGUAGGUGAACCUGCGGAAGGAUCAUUAUUGAAUAACCUGGUGCUGAUGCUGGCUCUUUCGAGGGCAUGUGCUCGCAUCAUCUUAUUAUUAUCUCUUGUGCACCUUUUGUAGGCUCUGAAGCAAGUACCUUUCGCAGCACUUUUAAAGUGCUCGCGGUCUGAGGGGUUUGACGAUGCUGCAAAGCCGUCUCUCCUUACCCGCUUGCUUUAGAGUCUAUGUUUUAUAUACUCUGUUAAAGUCUUAGAAUGUCUUCUUAUUGACGAAAGUCAGUAAAUCUAUACAACUUUCAGCAACGGAUCUCUUGGCUCUCCCAUCGAUGAAGAACGCAGC
RNAcentral lists this unclassified non-coding RNA (376 nucleotides) under uncultured fungus. RNAcentral's name for it is "partial contains small subunit ribosomal RNA, internal transcribed spacer 1, and 5.8S ribosomal RNA". The stretch from base 1 to 73 matches the Rfam family "Eukaryotic small subunit ribosomal RNA", at positions 1759 to 1831 of the family's 1831-position model. Lineage: Eukaryota; Fungi. The record is from RNAcentral.